UACUACCGAAGCUACGGCAUCAGUAAUGAUGGGUAGGGGAGCUUCCCAUACGGGUUGAAGCAUGACCGUAAGGACAUGUGGACAGUAUGGGAGUGAGAAUGUUGGCAUGAGUAGCGAGAUGUGGGUGAGAAUCCCACAGGCCGUAAACCCAAGGUUUCCAGGGGAAGGUUCGUCCGCCCUGGGUUAGUCGGGACCUAAGCUGAGGCCGAAAGGCGUAGGUGAUGGACAACAGGUUGAUAUUCCUGUACUACCGAUAACCAUUUGAGAGAAGGGAUGACACAGUAGGAUAAGCUAAGCACACUGUUGGUUAUGUGUGCCCAAGCAUUGAGGCAGUCAAAGUAGGCAAAUCCGCUUUGAUAAUGCUGGGAUGUGAUGGGGAGCGAAAUU
Molecule: ribosomal RNA, 387 nt
Filed under: Clostridioides difficile
Lineage: Bacteria; Bacillati; Bacillota; Clostridia; Peptostreptococcales; Peptostreptococcaceae
Description: bacterial LSU rRNA
Rfam family: Bacterial large subunit ribosomal RNA
Source: RNAcentral